GAUGAACGCUGGCGGCGUGCCUAACACAUGCAAGUCGAGCGGAAAGACGCUGCGCUUGCUCCGUUGUCGAUAGCCGAACGCGUGUGUGUAACACGUGGAUCACCUCCCUAUCUGUCUGGUAUCACUACGGGACUCCGGCGCUAAUCCCAUAUAAUAUCUUGAUCCGUAUUGUUCAAUAGUGAAAUACGGCUUUUCUGUCACUACUCGCUGCUUCUGCGCUGCAUUAGCUAGUUGUUAAGGUAACGGGCUACCAAGGCAACGAUGCGUAGCCGAGCUGAGAGGGUGAUCGGCCACACUGGAACGGAGACACGGUCCAGACUCCUACGGGAGGCAGCAGUAGGGAAUGUUCCGCAAUGGGCGAAAGCCUGACGGAGCAACGCCGCGUGAGUGAUGAAGGUCUUCGGAUCGUAAAACUCUGUUAUUAGGGAAGAACAAAUGUGGAAGUAACUAUGCACGUCUUGACGGUACCUAAUCAGAAAGCCACGGCUAACUACGUG
Molecule: ribosomal RNA, 497 nt
Filed under: uncultured bacterium
Lineage: Bacteria
Description: partial 16S ribosomal RNA
Rfam family: Bacterial small subunit ribosomal RNA
Source: RNAcentral